Molecule: long non-coding RNA, 223 nt
Filed under: Mytilus galloprovincialis (Mediterranean mussel)
Lineage: Eukaryota; Metazoa; Mollusca; Bivalvia; Mytilida; Mytilidae
Source: RNAcentral
CUUUUCUGAUCUAUUACCUAAGGAAAUUAUUCAUUUGACUUUUAUAAUGAAAUUUUGUGUCUCUACUGUAAUUGCCGCUAAUUACAUUGUUUGCAAAAUCUUGAUCUAAAUUGAUUGAAAAAGGAAAUCUCUUAAUUAUCAUUUAUUACUGACUACGAAAGGCAUCCUUAUUAGCUGAAUCUUUAGAAAGCAAUGACUAUGUGUGAUCAGAAAUAAACCGCAC